GAUGAAGAACGUAGCGAAAUGCGAUAAGUAAUGUGAAUUGCAGAAUUCAGUGAAUCAUCGAAUCUUUGAACGCACCUUGCGCCCCUUGGUUAUUCCAAAGGGCAUGCCUGUUUGAGUACCAUGAACACCUCAACUCUUGUGGUUUCCCACAAUGAGCUUGGACUGUGGAGGUUUUGUUGGCCCUGUGGUCAGCUCCUCUCAAAUGGAUCAGCUUACCGGUGUUUGGUGGCAUUACGGGUGUGAUAACUAUCUACGCUCGUGGUCGUCUCCAAAUAACCUCCAGUGAUGGAGGUUCGCUGGAGCUUAUAAAUGUCUCUCCCCAGUGAAGACAGCCUUUGAACGUUCGAUCUCAAAUCAGGUAGGACUACCCGCUGAACUUAAGCAUAUCAAUAAGCGGAGGA
RNAcentral lists this unclassified non-coding RNA (401 nucleotides) under soil metagenome. RNAcentral describes it as "partial contains 5.8S ribosomal RNA, internal transcribed spacer 2, and large subunit ribosomal RNA". The stretch from base 1 to 121 matches the Rfam family "5.8S ribosomal RNA", at positions 35 to 154 of the family's 154-position model. The record is from RNAcentral.